This is a long non-coding RNA of Mauremys reevesii (Reeves's turtle), 609 nucleotides long. RefSeq lists it as uncharacterized. NCBI's taxonomy places the organism in Eukaryota, Metazoa, Chordata, Testudines, Geoemydidae. The transcript is spliced from 3 exons. The record is from RefSeq and is a predicted model, not a curated record.
GGCAUACAUGUCCACCUUAAGUCCCCCUGUAUCACCAGGGCUACCAGAGUGUGUGGCUACUUUGGAUUGUGCAACCUGGGCUGUAAAAGCCUGCGAGCCAUACAUGCUCAUGGGUACGCUGGUAUUGCAUACCACCCACACAUGGGAUCCAGAAUGGUACUAUGGCAGUAAGCAUCUAGAGAAGGGUCUUCUGGCCCUGCAGGCGAAGAUCGAGGAGUUGGUGGCCGAAGGCCCAGAGACACAUUGUGGAAGGCCAUCUGAGUUAUAGACACAUGAAGCGCUGAGAAAGGCCUCAAAGUUAACUCCCUAGAACAGAUGCCAGAACAGAGUUCAGGGAGAGGCUCAACAUAAUUGAUGAAUGUACCUGUUGGUCAACCAAGAGAGCUGCUACCUCAUUCCCCUGGACCCCAAAAUCAGGAUUUAACCUACAAUUGCAAUAGGAGUAGUUUAAGGAAAAUUAUCUGUGUAUUAGCAACAUGUUAACCUAAUCCAUGGGCAGAGCCAUUAUGUAAUCUUUUAGACCAUUGGCUUAUUGUGCUUAUCUUGUCUUGCUGCUAGAACCUAUUCAGGGGCUUGGGAAAUCCCAUCCCCAUCACUUCUCUACGCCCA